This is a long non-coding RNA of Rana temporaria (common frog), 923 nucleotides long. RefSeq lists it as uncharacterized. The record is from RefSeq and is a predicted model, not a curated record. NCBI's taxonomy places the organism in Eukaryota, Metazoa, Chordata, Amphibia, Anura, Ranidae. The transcript is spliced from 3 exons.
UGUAAAGGUGAAGGAAUUGGGGUGAUCUGAGGUGUAAAGGUGAAGGAAUUGGGAUGAUCUGAGGUGUAAAGGUGAAGGAAUUGGGGCGAUCUGAGGUGUGAAGGAUUUGGGAUGAUCUAAGGUGUAAAGGUGAAGGAAUUGGGAUGAUCUGAGGUGUAAAGGAAUUGGGGUGAUCUGAGGUGUAAAGGUGAAGGGAUUGGGAUGAUCUGAGGUGUGAAGGUGAAGGAAUUGGGAUGAUCUGAGGUGUGAAGGAAUUGGGAUGAUCCGAGGUGUAAAGGUGAAGGAAUUGGGAUGAUCCGAGGUGUAAAGGUGAAGGAAUUGGGGUGAUCUGAGAUGUGAAGGCAUUUGGGUGAUCUGAGGUGUGAAGGUGAAGGAAUUGGGAUGAUCUGAGGUGUGAAGGUGAAGUAAUUGGGGUGAUCUGAGGUGUGAAGGAAUUGGGAUGAUCUAAGGUGUAAAGGUGAAGGAAUUGGGAUGAUCUGAGGUGUAAAGGAAUUGGGGUGAUCUGAGGUGUAAAGGUGAAGGGAUUGGGAUGAUCUGAGGUGUAAGGGUAAAGGAAUUGGGAUGAUCUGAGAUGUGAAGGAAUUGGGGUGAUCUGAGAUGUGAAGGAAUUGGGGUGAUCUGAGGUGUGAAGGAAUUGGGAUGAUCUGAGGUGUAAAGGUGAAGGAAUUGGGAUGAUCUGAGGUGUAAAGGUGCAGGAAUUGGGGUGAUCUGAGGUGUAAAGGUGCAGGAAUUGGGGUGAUCUGAGGUGUAAAGGUGAAGGAAUUGGGAUGACCUGAGGUGUAAAGGUGAAGGAAUUGGGGUGAUCUGAGGUGUAAAUUACAUUUAAGGAAUUGGGAUGACCUGAGGUGUAAAGGUGCAGGAAUUGGGAUGAUCUGAGGUGUGAAGGAAUUGGGAUGAUCUGAGGUGUGAAGGUGAAGGAAUUG